Rhipicephalus sanguineus (brown dog tick) is the source of this 276-nucleotide long non-coding RNA. RefSeq lists it as uncharacterized. Lineage: Eukaryota; Metazoa; Arthropoda; Arachnida; Ixodida; Ixodidae. The record is from RefSeq and is a predicted model, not a curated record. The transcript is spliced from 3 exons.
GACAAUCCACUUCCCAGUGUUGUGACAAGCGGCGACCGCGGUUGUACAGGAGCGGAAGCGUGAGCCUUUUGACGAGCGACUGUGAAGAAUGCAAAACCAGUGCCAAACUUCGGAAUCGAUAGCCCGGGCGGCGUGUUGGCACAGCGAGGAUGAGAACGAGAGACCCGAUAGACAGCGAUGACAGCUGUUCACGGCACCGACACAGAGGACAUAUUGCAGUGCAAGAUAGGAGCGGUCUUCCUCCAAGCCCAGACAAGCCAUAUUGAGUGGUAGGAA